This is a long non-coding RNA of Coturnix japonica (Japanese quail), 362 nucleotides long. RefSeq lists it as uncharacterized. The record is from RefSeq and is a predicted model, not a curated record. NCBI's taxonomy places the organism in Eukaryota, Metazoa, Chordata, Aves, Galliformes, Phasianidae.
CGCCGCUCGGGCUCGGUGCCGUUGGGCUCGGAAGCGGCGGCGAUUCGGCAGGCUGCGGGGACACAGACAGAGCGGGGCGGGCACAGCUGAGCUGGGUGUUUGAACAUGAGUUAUCCUUUCCCAUGCAUCCAGAUGCCAUAUCUUCUGCUAUCAGCAGCCACCUCACAAGCUGGGAGAGGGCUUUGAAGUGUGCUGUGCGUGACUCUAGUUCCUGCUGAUGCAAGCCAGGAGUGCCAUAAUAAAGGGAACGUGGAAGCCCAGCCCGGAUGCUGAGGAGGAGGGAAGGGGAAGGGCCCGGAUGCUGCACCUCUGCAAAUCAGCACAGAUCAUGCUCCCCUUUGCAAUACACAGGCAUUCAGAUG